RNAcentral lists this ribosomal RNA (253 nucleotides) under uncultured bacterium. RNAcentral describes it as "partial 16S ribosomal RNA". It matches the Rfam family "Bacterial small subunit ribosomal RNA", at positions 524 to 776 of the family's 1533-position model. The record is from RNAcentral.
UACGUAGGGGGCGAGCGUUAUCCGGAAUUAUUGGGCGUAAAGAGCUCGUAGGCGGUCUGUCGCGUCCGUUGUGAAAACUCGAGGCUCAACCUCGGGCUUGCAGUGGAUACGGGCAGACUAGAGUGCGGUAGGGGAGACUGGAAUUCCUGGUGUAGCGGUGGAAUGCGCAGAUAUCAGGAGGAACACCGAUGGCGAAGGCAGGUCUCUGGGCCGCAACUGACGCUGAGGAGCGAAAGCAUGGGGAGCGAACAGG